Molecule: ribosomal RNA, 465 nt
Filed under: uncultured Klebsiella sp.
Lineage: Bacteria; Pseudomonadati; Pseudomonadota; Gammaproteobacteria; Enterobacterales; Enterobacteriaceae
Description: bacterial SSU rRNA
Rfam family: Bacterial small subunit ribosomal RNA
Source: RNAcentral
CCUACGGGCGGCAGCAGUGGGGAAUAUUGCACAAUGGGCGCAAGCCUGAUGCAGCCAUGCCGCGUGUGUGAAGAAGGCCUUCGGGUUGUAAAGCACUUUCAGCGGGGAGGAAGGCGGUGAGGUUAAUAACCUCAUCGAUUGACGUUACCCGCAGAAGAAGCACCGGCUAACUCCGUGCCAGCAGCCGCGGUAAUACGGAGGGUGCAAGCGUUAAUCGGAAUUAAUGGGCGUAAAGCGCACGCAGGCGGUCUGUCAAGUCGGAUGUGAAAUCCCCGGGCUCAACCUGGGAACUGCAUUCGAAACUGGCAGGCUAGAGUCUUGUAGAGGGGGGUAGAAUUCCAGGUGUAGCGGUGAAAUGCGUAGAGAUCUGGAGGAAUACCGGUGGCGAAGGCGGCCCCCUGGACAAAGACUGACGCUCAGGUGCGAAAGCGUGGGGAGCAAACAGGAUUAGAUACCCCUGUAGUC